AUCCGGCUGACGAGUCCCAAAUAGGACGAAACGUGCGUCUUGGAU
RNAcentral lists this non-coding RNA (45 nucleotides) under Schistosoma haematobium. Lineage: Eukaryota; Metazoa; Platyhelminthes; Trematoda; Strigeidida; Schistosomatidae. The record is from RNAcentral.